Camelus dromedarius (Arabian camel) is the source of this 157-nucleotide small nuclear RNA. Its record names the gene U1. It matches the Rfam family "U1 spliceosomal RNA". From Rfam's summary of the family: U1 is a small nuclear RNA (snRNA) component of the spliceosome (involved in pre-mRNA splicing). The record is from Ensembl. NCBI's taxonomy places the organism in Eukaryota, Metazoa, Chordata, Mammalia, Artiodactyla, Camelidae.
ACACUUACCUGACAAGGGGAGAUACCAUGAUCACAAAGGUGGUUUUCCCAGGGCAACGCUUAGCCAUCACACUUGGGGUGUGCUGACCCAUGAUUUCCCCAAAUGUGGGCAAUUUGACUGCACCGUUUGUGAUAGUGGGGGACUGCGUUUACACUUA